GAAACGGAGAAAGAGCGUGCUGCAUGGGAGAUUGGUCAACUCGCUGUUUAAUUUUGCAGAGUGAUGGGGAACGCAUCACUGCUGAUAAGAACCAUCUCAGAGCUUCAUCAACCACGUGCUGCUUUCUCUGAAACAUUGCCAUUGUGACUCAGGAGCUUCUAGUCUAAAACGAAAAUAAAACAGUAAUGGGGAUGUGGAACCUGGUUCUUGGUUCAAUCUCUCUGUCUUCAAGAUUUACGGAUCCUUACAGCAAGAUUCCACAAGAACUCUUAUACUGACAACUUGCAACUCAUGCACACCACUUUGUGAUAAAAAUACUCAAACUUGAAACAGAAGGGAACUUGCUGAACCUGAUAAAGGGCACCUACGACAAACAUGACGCUUAAUGGUGAAAGAUGGAAAGCCUCCCGUAAGAUCAGGAACGGGACGAGGAUGUCCAUUCUUAUCAUUUGUGCUCAAUGUUGUACUGGAGGUUCUAACCAGGGCACUUAGGCAAGAAAAAGGAACAAAAGAUACUCAGAUUGGAAAGGAAGAAGUAAAACUCUCUCUAAUGGAGGAGGACAUGAUCUCCUAUAUUGAAAAUGCUAAGCAUCAACAACAAUAACAAGCUAUUAGAGCUAAUAAACGAGUUCAGAUAAAUAAUAGAAGAAUGCAGGAUACAAGAUCAAUAUACGAAAAUCAAUUGUAUUUUUAUACAUUAGCAAUAAAUAAUCCAAAAAUGAUAUUAGGGAAACAAUUUCAUUUACAAUAGCAUCCAAAAUAUUAAAAUGUUUAGGAAUAUAUUUAACAAAAGAAAUGCCAGAUCCCUGCACUUAAAACUGCAAAACGUC
This 830-nucleotide long non-coding RNA is filed under the name Equus caballus (horse). RNAcentral's name for it is "lncRNA (ENSECAG00000057456.1)". The record is from RNAcentral. Lineage: Eukaryota; Metazoa; Chordata; Mammalia; Perissodactyla; Equidae.